GUUGUAUGGUUAAGUGACUAAGCGUACACGGUGGAUGCCUUGGCAGUCAGAGGCGAUGAAAGACGUAGUAACUUGCGAUAAGCCCAGAUUAGGUAGUAACAACCAUUUGAGUCUGGGAUUUCUGAAUGGGGAAACCCACGUGCAUAAGCACGUAUCCUUACCUGAAUACAUAGGGUAAGGAGGCGAACCGGGGGAACUGAAACAUCUAAGUACCCCGAGGAAAAGAAAUCAACCGAGAUUCCGAAAGUAGCGGCGAGCGAAAUUGGACUAGCCCUUAAGCUUUACACGCGUUAGACGAACGGUCUGGAAAGUCCGACGAUACAGGGUGAUAGUCCCGUAGUUGACGACGUGUGUUCAGUGAAAUCGAGUAGGGCGGGACACGUGAUAUCCUGUCUGAAUAUGGGGGGACCAUCCUCCAAGGCUAAAUACUACUGACUGACCGAUAGUGAACCAGUACCGUGAGGGAAAGGCGAAAAGAACCCCUGUGAGGGGAGUGAAAUAGAACCUGAAACCGUGUACGUACAAGCAGUAGGAGCAGGCUUGUCCUGUGACUGCGUACCUUUUGUAUAAUGGGUCAGCGACUUAUAUUCAGUGGCAAGGUUAACCAUCUAGGGGAGCCGUAGGGAAACCGAGUCUUAACUGGGCGUUCAGUCUCUGGAUAUAGACCCGAAACCAGGUGAUCUAGCCAUGGGCAGGUUGAAGGUUGAGUAACAUCAACUGGAGGACCGAACCGACUAAUGUUGAAAAAUUAGCGGAUGACUUGUGGCUAGGGGUGAAAGGCCAAUCAAACCUGGAGAUAGCUGGUUCUCCCCGAAAGCUAUUUAGGUAGCGCCUCGGACGAAUACUACUGGGGGUAGAGCACUGUUAAGGCUAGGGGGUCAUCCCGACUUACCAACCCUUUGCAAACUCCGAAUACCAGUAAGUACUAUCCGGGAGACACACGGCGGGUGCUAACGUCCGUCGUGGAGAGGGAAACAACCCAGACCGCCAGCUAAGGUCCCAAAUUACUACUAAGUGGGAAACGAUGUGGGAAGGCUCAGACAGCCAGGAUGUUGGCUUAGAAGCAGCCAUCAUUUAAAGAAAGCGUAAUAGCUCACUGGUCGAGUCGGCCUGCGCGGAAGAUGUAACGGGGCUAAGUAGUAAACCGAAGCUGCGGCAAUAUACUUUUGUAUAUUGGGUAGGGGAGCGUUCUGUAAGCGGUUGAAGGUGUGUGGUAACGCAUGCUGGACGUAUCAGAAGUGCGAAUGCUGACAUGAGUAACGAUAAAGGGGGUGAAAAACCUCCUCGCCGGAAGACCAAGGGUUCCUGUCCAACGUUAAUCGGGGCAGGGUAAGUCGACCCCUAAGGCGAGGCCGAAAGGCGUAGUCGAUGGGAAACGGGUUAAUAUUCCCGUACUUCUUACAAUUGCGAUGGGGGGACGGAGAAGGCUAGGUGGGCCUGGCGACGGUUGUCCAGGUUCAAGUGCGUAGGCUUAAGAGUUAGGUAAAUCCGGCUCUUUCUAAGGCUGAGACACGACGUCGAGCAUCUACGGAUGUGAAGUCAUUGAUGCCAUGCUUCCAGGAAAAGCCUCUAAGCUUCAGAUUGUAAGGAAUCGUACCCCAAACCGACACAGGUGGUCGGGUAGAGAAUACCAAGGCGCUUGAGAGAACUCGGGUGAAGGAACUAGGCAAAAUGGUACCGUAACUUCGGGAGAAGGUACGCUCUCGACGGUGAAGUCCCUUGCGGAUGGAGCUAUUGAGAGUCGCAGAUACCAGGUGGCUGCAACUGUUUAUUAAAAACACAGCACUGUGCAAAAUCGUAAGAUGACGUAUACGGUGUGACGCCUGCCCGGUGCCGGAAGGUUAAUUGAUGGGGUUAGACUUCGGUCGAAGCUCUUGAUCGAAGCCCCGGUAAACGGCGGCCGUAACUAUAACGGUCCUAAGGUAGCGAAAUUCCUUGUCGGGUAAGUUCCGACCUGCACGAAUGGCGUAAUGAUGGCCACGCUGUCUCCACCCGAGACUCAGUGAAAUUGAAAUCGCUGUGAAGAUGCAGUGUACCCGCGGCUAGACGGAAAGACCCCGUGAACCUUUACUACAGCUUGGCACUGAACAUUGACCCUACAUGUGUAGGAUAGGUGGGAGGCUUUGAAGCACGUACGCCAGUAUGUGUGGAGCCGUCCUUGAAAUACCACCCUUGUAGUGUUGAUGUUCUAACGUCGACCCCUUAUCGGGGUUGCGGACAGUGCCUGGUGGGUAGUUUGACUGGGGCGGUCUCCUCCCAAAGAGUAACGGAGGAGCACGAAGGUGGGCUAAUCACGGUUGGACAUCGUGAGGUUAGUGCAAUGGCAUAAGCCCGCUUGACUGCGAGAAUGACAAUUCGAGCAGGUGCGAAAGCAGGUCAUAGUGAUCCGGUGGUUCUGAAUGGAAGGGCCAUCGCUCAACGGAUAAAAGGUACUCCGGGGAUAACAGGCUGAUACCGCCCAAGAGUUCAUAUCGACGGCGGUGUUUGGCACCUCGAUGUCGGCUCAUCACAUCCUGGGGCUGAAGUCGGUCCCAAGGGUAUGGCUGUUCGCCAUUUAAAGUGGUACGCGAGCUGGGUUUAGAACGUCGUGAGACAGUUCGGUCCCUAUCUGCCGUGGGCGUUGGAAGAUUGAAGGGGGCUGCUCCUAGUACGAGAGGACCGGAGUGGACGAACCUCUGGUGUUCGGGUUGUGUCGCCAGACGCAUUGCCCGGUAGCUAAGUUCGGAAUCGAUAACCGCUGAAAGCAUCUAAGCGGGAAGCGAGCCCUGAGAUGAGUCUUCCCUGAUACUUUAAGUAUCCUAAAGGGUUGUCGGAGACUACGACGUUGAUAGGUCAGGUGUGUAAGUGCUGUGAGGCAUUGAGCUAACUGAUACUAAUUGCCCGUGAGGCUUAACCAUACAACACCCAAGGGGUUU
This 2915-nucleotide ribosomal RNA is filed under the name Vibrio parahaemolyticus O1:Kuk str. FDA_R31. Its description in RNAcentral is "bacterial LSU rRNA". It matches the Rfam family "Bacterial large subunit ribosomal RNA". The record is from RNAcentral. Lineage: Bacteria; Pseudomonadati; Pseudomonadota; Gammaproteobacteria; Vibrionales; Vibrionaceae.